RNAcentral lists this ribosomal RNA (238 nucleotides) under uncultured bacterium. RNAcentral's name for it is "partial 16S ribosomal RNA". It matches the Rfam family "Bacterial small subunit ribosomal RNA", at positions 355 to 584 of the family's 1533-position model. The record is from RNAcentral.
UAGGGAAUCUUCGGCAAUGGGGGCAACCCUGACCGAGCAACGCCGCGUGAGUGAAGAAGGUUUUCGGAUCGUAAAGCUCUGUUGUAAGUCAAGAACGGGUGUGAGAGUGGAAAGUUCACACUGUGACGGUAGCUUACCAGAAAGGGACGGCUAACUACGUGCCAGCAGCCGCGGUAAUACGUAGGUCCCGAGCGUUGUCCGGAUUUAUUGGGCGUAAAGCGAGCGCAGGCGGUUUGAU